CAUUAUUUUAAACAAUAUUAUAUUAAAAGUAAUUAGAAAAAUAUUUCAGUUAAAAAAAAAAUAUAUAUCCUAUUUUCCCCUCUUAUGGUAAGACAUGGCAGGCCAAAUCAAUGGUCAUAACAGGCCAACUUUGACCCCAAAAUUAGGAAAAAUUUGCCAUUCACAAUGUAUUACACUUCCAUAAUUUCACAUAUCUGUGAGAAGAAAUGUAGAGUAGAAACUAAUUUAUCCAUCAGUAAUUGAUUGGAUCUUGAAAAGUGGGCGUUACCAUAAUGGAGCCAGACUGAGUAUGAUUAACUAAAAGUAAACUAUAACAGCUGUUAGAUAAUAUUAUCCAAUAGCCUGUAAGGGAUUCAGUAAUGUCAGCAGAAAAUAAAAAUAAAAAGUCAUUACAGAGGAAGAUCACAGCAUUUAAAAUUGGAUUACAGAUUAUGAACAGAAGCAUUUUUUUCCCCUUAGGAAUACUGUGGAACAAAUAUUAAUAAUUUACAAUGGAGUCUGCUUGUCUUUGAAAUCUUUAAUCCAACUGUAAGAACUUGAUCUUCUUCUAAAAUCACUUUUCUUCUUGUUACAUCCCUAUGUGACAUUAGGAGGUGUUUGUUUCCGUGCUGUUUUUCUGCCGCUCUCUGUUUUACUUUUGUUUUUGCAGGGCGUGCUGAUUGGUACAUGCCACUGUCAAUCAUCGUCAAGGGCUGAGUCCAGUGUGCUGAUGUCAGGAGGCGAUUUGCCAAUGAUUUGUUGCUGGAAUCCCGAGAACUUUUAAAGAAGGCAGGUCUACAUUCAUAAGGAGGCUUGCCACCAUGCCACUCUGUUAAUGCAUUGUGUUUAUUCUGCUUUCUUUGUUUUGGGUUACCAGGGGGUUUAUUUUUCGUUGUUACUGCAGUCACUUUUAACAACCUUAACUCUUUCCCUUCCUUCAUUUGUGAUUAUUAACGUUGUGUUAGCGAUCGCUGCUGACAUCGUGAGACAGAAAACACCCUAAAGUCCAAACCCAGCUGACACGAAUCAUAAACGCACCGAUGACAGAUUGAUGUUGGCAGCAGCUUUCCCCCUCCGGACUUCAUGCACUGCACAGCUAACUUAAUACAGCUGCUAGCCAUGUCCACCACACAUCUGCUAACAGUCUGAUACAAACCUACUCACAUCUAUCGCAUUCUUCAGCGGCGCAUCUUCAGAGAGCUGAGCUUACGAGCAGCUGAACGGUCAUCUAUAAGAGCAUUCCGUGAAAUAACAUCUCAUCCACUGUAGCUAGCAGCAAAUCUAGCCGGACUUACUGUAUGCUGGUGUCGCUUCUACGAAGUUCCGGGCGGAAACAGCGGAACCUUCUGCUGACGGUCAACACUCACUGCCAGUUCAAUGUCUGUGUUUACAAGUGUUAAUUAUUGUAAUUGUUACAAAUAUCAUAUUUAUUCAGUUACAUCGCUAUUGAUAAAUCUUAUACAUUUCUACAAUUGAAACGUGUGACAAUAUGUGACAACUUGUGGAAAUUAACUUUCAACUUGUCCCAUGUGAUAUUUAUGGAAAAUACCUGGUAGGCAAUCCUUCACUGACUCGUCUGUGAAUGUUUCUUAGUCUAUUGUAUUAAAAAUUAAAAUAGCAUGAUGAUAUUAGAUGGCUGUGGUGUAGUGGUGCCGAGAAGUGGGUACUUAAUUUAUGCCCCCAACCCAGCAAAUUAUAUGUUAUAAACAGUGGCAUGUAAAACUAGUCUUGUUCAUUUAGUUCACCCCAAACCAGCAGAAUUUGCACACUGUCACUUAAUUUCUGCUGCUUGAAUCCUUAUUAAAUUAUUAGCCACAGAAGAGGUACAGAUUUAAAGUAAUUAAUUCAAAUAAACAAUCAAAUAAAUAAAGACUGCA
This is a long non-coding RNA of Cyprinus carpio (common carp), 1856 nucleotides long. NCBI's taxonomy places the organism in Eukaryota, Metazoa, Chordata, Actinopteri, Cypriniformes, Cyprinidae. The record is from Ensembl.